RNAcentral lists this long non-coding RNA (3391 nucleotides) under Zea mays. RNAcentral's name for it is "long non-coding RNA (ZMAY_LNC004227)". Lineage: Eukaryota; Viridiplantae; Streptophyta; Magnoliopsida; Poales; Poaceae. The record is from RNAcentral.
CAGCUCGUGUCACCGUCGCUUGGGCUCGUGUCGUCAAGGCCUCCUUCCCUGUCCGCGACCUGGCUUCUCAACUGACCGUGCGGAUCGCGCGUCCGCCAACAAACUCCAGCUGGAGAUUGUGGACCGACGUCCCUGGGCCAUAAAAACUAUGCACAAGACCUUCUAUCCUCUCCCUUCGUCGUUCCUCAACCGUUAAUUUCUAGAGAGAGAUAGGGCAUCGUUGUGCCAGGGACUCGGCGGCGGCUCCGCCUGGGGCUCUCGGCUACCUGCUCUUGGCUACCUGCCCUGCCCUGGUGGUGCGAUCGAGCGAAGUCGCAGCGGCGCUGGGUACCAGUACGGUGCAUCCGCGGACGUUGAGGACCGACAGGAUCUCGUGAAUUCCUCAUCGGAGUUCUUCCCUCGUCGCGAGUCGACCCUCAUCGUGGACAGCUCGCUCGCGCGCCCGAUCCUCGGUAAUUUCACCUCCUCCGUGUUCGCCGUUGCCAUUACUUUGUGUAGCAGGGAUUAAUUGAGGAUCUGGUUCACGUUGUGCUCGGUCUGGUGACUCCGGCGAGUGCGCCGCCGGGUGGGGAUUCCCUUCGCCGUAGCUGUGCGGUGAGGAUGGAAGAAGAACGGCAUGAGUCGUUGAUUCUGUUUUUAGUGAUCGAGAUUAUGUUAUAGGGGCGGCUCGUUGGCCAUUGGAUCGGCUGUUAAUGGAUGCGAUCAAGUUUGGUCUGAACCGGUUCGGAAAUAGUUCUGACCAUUGAUCUCGAUACGGAGGGCUAAGAUCAGGUUAGGUCUUCAUUGAAUUUAGGCCGUUGAGAUCAAAACGGAUGGUCGGAUCGGUUGUUUGCGUAUUCUCUCCCACACAUUAAAUCAGAGCCGUUGAUCCUGUCGUGUGUGGCUGUGAUGGCAUAGGAGUAUUCUAGUUUGGCGAUCUAAUUGUGGCAGUCCAUUAUUGAUCGGACGGCCGAAAAGCAACGAUACCCCUUCGGCCUGGGCGUUUUGCGUAAGAGACCCCGAGAAAUAACUGAAUCAACCCGCAGUCCACUAGGAUUGUUCACUGAGUCUAGGAUAACUUACCAGGAGGCCCCUGUCUUCUCUAGAAAUUGAGGCGCAGUCCAGGGAGUUAAGAAAUCAGGAAAAUUAAUUUAGAAAUGGAUUUUUAAUAUGAAAAUAAUGGCUAGAAUUUGUUUAAUUCAUAGAAAUUUCAUAUUAAGUCCAAAUUAAUCCAUCCCAGUUUCUAUAAUUUUGUAAUAAUAUUGUUUAUCAAGUGAUGUCUCUGUUUUGACAUGAAAAACAUAUUAAAAAAGUGAUGUCUCUGUUUUGACAUGAAAAACAUAUUAAAAUUUAUCUCUUAAUUAAUCUCGUAUCAAAUACAUAAAACCUUCGGAAAUUCAUAACUCCUCCGUUUUAAUUCUGAAUUGACUCGUUCUAGUUGCGUUAGUUUCGUAUAAGUAUUUACUACACAGUAACAACAUUAAUUAUACCAUAUUGCAUAAUUUAAUAUUUAGAUAUUUAUUUAUCCUAUGUCUACUAGAUUAGCUCUUCUAAAUCAAGACUAACCUGACCAUAAUUAUAAUGUGGUUAAAACAUGAUCUCUAGUUAAGUUAUACUUAAGAUUAAAGUUGAAUUGUUUAUUUAAGAGUAUAUUUUCUCUUAUGAUGUAUACUAAUCAAUUUAUAAUAGUAAAACCACAUAGAUUCCCCAUAAAUCAUAACUUCGUAACCCUGACUCAGAUCUUAGUAGUUCUCGAUCCCACGAUCUCGUAGCUAUGCGUAGAUUAUUAUUAUUCAGUUUGUUCUUAUGUUUGGUGUGGUGUUAAUUUUGUUUAUACCAUGUAUGUUUGUAUUGCUACGACUAGCAGUGAGGUCAUGAGGAUUUGAAGAAUCAUCCUGGUACCUAGAAUCUCAAGUGCCAGGCAAGUUGUGCUCUUGACCACUUUUUACCCAAUAAUGUUCUUUAUUAUCACUAUUCAAUGCAUAGGUUUAAUUUUGAUGGGACCCAAUAGGUCACCCUAGUCUGAUUAUCUUUUACCUUGAUUACCCGUGAAUCAUUUGGCUAGUUUUGCUACUGCUUUACAUGAUUUUGGGUUAAUAUUUCAUUAUAUCCAUGUUCCAAUUAUUCUAUUAUGUUAUUAUGUUCAUGUCAAGAUCAUUAUCUUUAAUUGGAAUAUGGAGCUUAACUUGAGAAACACGUGCCACCACAAGGGUGGAAUGGGACGCCCUUGACUUACUAAUUAGGAAAGCUAGUGGAAGAGUACCUUACCCAAAAGGGGUAAGGGCAGUAGGGGAGUUGCAUGCAGGGAGGUUCUCGGGUUGAUUUUGCUGCGAUGGCGGUCAGACGAGAGAUUCUUGAAAGUGCUCUUCCCAUAAACUGUAGCGGGUUUUCGGAAGCUAGUGGAACUUUGUAAAGGCCUCGUAGUGUUACCCUGCCUCGCUUCCUUGGUAGAUGUGUAUGGGAUUCAUGACCCCUUGGCAGAUGGGUAACAUGACUUGUGAGUACAGGGUACAACCUCUGCAGAGUGUAAAACUGGUAUACUAGCCGAGCUCACGGUCAUGAGCAGCUCAGGACUCUCGCAUGAUUAAAUUAUGGAACUUAAAUUCAAUUUGUCAUUUGCAUUUGCAUGGGAUUAUUUAUUAAUUUUGUUCUAUUCUUAUUAUGGUUUGGUAUUUACUUACAUUUAGUAACUGCUAAUAAAAUUUGACCAACUUAUUAAAAGCAAUGCUCAACUUUAACCCCUAUUGUUGAUCAGCCUUACACAUCACAUGAACUCCCACCUUUGGUGAGUUCAUGCACAUUAUUUCCCACAACUUGUUGAGCGAUGAACAUGUGUGAGCUCACCCUUGCUGUCUCACACCCCCCAUAGGAGAAGAACAGGUGGUUCAAGAGGAGCCACACAACGAGGAGUUUGACUUGAUCUAGGUGGCGUCUCCUAGUUGACUUUCUGGCGCCAAGGAUGGACUUUAGUUCGUUAUAUAUUUAUCUUUUAUCCUGUAAGACUUCCGCUAUGUAAUAAAUACUCUGAUUAUAUUGUGACAUUUAUCUCUAUGCACUCUGUUGUCUCUUUUGGCGCAUGUAUGAGAUGCACCCGACUUUGUCCCUUAAAUCUGGGUGUGACAAUAGCAUGGGUUUAUUUUAGAUAAUACAUAAUCAUGAAUUUGUCCAGAUUCAAUGAACUUAUUCUAGCAAUAUUGUAAACUUUAUGAGAUUUGCGGACUACAUAGAUCCAGAGUUAGUAAAGAUAUAAACUGAUUAGUAGUUUUUUUAAAAAAAACUCUCACAACAUUAAUUUCUAAUUAGGUUUAAGUUAAUACCUUGCAUUUAUGCGAUUUAUAUUUAGGAUUCCUAAUCAUGUAGUUUUAGCAUAAAGAUGAAGCCCUGGCAUCAUGUAUGAACACAAUGAGCUACC